This 211-nucleotide ribosomal RNA is filed under the name uncultured bacterium. RNAcentral describes it as "partial 16S ribosomal RNA". It matches the Rfam family "Bacterial small subunit ribosomal RNA", at positions 1290 to 1500 of the family's 1533-position model. The record is from RNAcentral.
AGUUCAGAUUGCAGGCUGAAACUCGCCUGCAUGAAGUCGGAAUUGCUAGUAAUCGCAGAUCAGCAUGCUGCGGUGAAUACGUUCCCGGGCCUUGUACACACCGCCCGUCACACCAUGGGAGUCGGUAACACCCGAAGCCUGUAGUCUAACCGCAAGGAGGACGCAGUCAAAGGUGGGAUUGAUGACUGGGGUGAAGUCGUAACAAGGUAAC